This 1531-nucleotide long non-coding RNA is filed under the name Homo sapiens (human). RNAcentral's name for it is "long intergenic non-protein coding RNA 1277". The record is from RNAcentral. Lineage: Eukaryota; Metazoa; Chordata; Mammalia; Primates; Hominidae.
GGCAGCAGAGUGCCUGGUGUCCAAGGAAGCAUGUAUAGGGGGUACAUAUGGUGGCAGUUGUAUGCUCAGCAGAAGAAGCACCAGGGAGGUGAAGGUCACGUUGACAGCAUGAACCUUCGAUGUGAUGUGAGGAAAAUGGCAUUCUACCUCUGUGUUCUUCCUCCCCAAAAUUUGUAACCACCAUCUAAUCAUGAGGAAAACAUCAUACAAGUCCAAAUUGAGGAAGAUUCUACAAAAUGCCUGAUUAAUAUUCAUCGAAACUGUCAAGGUCAUCAAAAGCAAGGAAAGUCUGAGAAACUGCCACAGCCUAAAGACAAUCCAGGGAAACGUGAUGACUCAGUGGUAUUCGGGGUGGGUUUCUGGAACAGCAAAAGGACAACAGGUACCCUGAGCCACUAUCUAAAUUGUCUGCUUACCUUAUGAAGACACCAUAAGGAGGUAUAACGUGUGGUGAGCACAGGUGAAGAGCUAGAGGCCUGAAACUAGAUGGGGAGGGAGAAGCCAGCCAUGCCUGCAUCCAGGGCUGCACUCAGCCUCCCAGCAUCUGUGCAGAGGCAUCAGUCAAGCCACAGCUAACUGCAGUCCCAGCUAACAUUAUGUGGAACAUCCCAGUCAUCCCAGAUCAUCCCAGUCAACCAAGAUCAUAAAAUUGUUUUCAGCUAUUAAGUUUAAAUAUGUGAAAUAAGGAGAUAAAAAUACUGACUUGGACUCUGUCUGAAUGAAAGGAUUAGUAGAUUAGAUUAGUGAUUCUUAAAAGACUUUCUUGGAUGCAUAUAAGUGUCCACAAAAUAAGAGUAUGAUGGUUUCCAGGUACAAAUAAGAUGGAAAACUAUUUUGUGAAUCAGAAUUAAAUUGGUUUAUUUACUGUAGAACUUCUAAGAGGCUUUAACAUGUACAUUUAAUUAUCAUAAGCCUUAUGAAAACUCCAGGAGGACAGAAGAGUUGCCUGUGACUUUUUUUAAAGUGUUUAUUCACAUCCCAAGGAAGGAUUCCCAGAAGAGAUGAUGCCUAAGCAGUGUCCCAACCAUGAAAUAAAGUCUCCUAGCUACUGGACAAGAUCAUCUCGAAGCUUAUUUCCAGCUCCAAAUGUUAUUAUUUUCCUCAAACCCAUUAUAAAAUGGCCUCUCUUAGCACUAUGAGAUCUGUAAUACAAGAAGUAGAACAAACACAUGAAGUUCCUGUUGGAAAUUCAAACUUCUCAUACAGCCUUCACUGAGUUCUACUCAUUAUGGAUAAAGGCUUCUGCUUUGAGUCACCUAAGUACUUUUGACCCCCAACUUAAUCAAUGCCUUGAAGUGAAAAUACAGUGUCAGGCAGUCCCUAUUCAUGACACAAACAAACCAACCAACUCAUAUCAUGACUUAAUGGUGUGAGACCUCAGUAAAAACUUUAUAUGAACUAAAUUUGUCUCAUUUGUAUCUUCUCAUACCUGUCACAGAAUUUCCUCUGUCCAAUGACACUGGUCCUUCGAUAGUCUUAGCUGUCUUUUCCUUCUUAAACUAACAAAAAUAAAAGUGAAAGAAACAACAUU